Megalobrama amblycephala (Wuchang bream) is the source of this 324-nucleotide long non-coding RNA. RefSeq lists it as uncharacterized. The record is from RefSeq and is a predicted model, not a curated record. The transcript is spliced from 2 exons. Lineage: Eukaryota; Metazoa; Chordata; Actinopteri; Cypriniformes; Xenocyprididae.
AGUUUUCCAGGUUGGCCAGAACCCACCCAGCUGGUCCCAGGAUGGCAAGAGAAAACAUGGCCAGACCAGCUGUUGUCUCCUGUAAAAACAGACACAAGACCCAAACAACUGUUAGGUGAAUGCCAAGGAGGUCAUGGCCUGCCCUUCACGAGCUGCUAAGGAAACAACCAGCUCUCUACAGAUACUCACAACGGGCCCCAGCGCAUCCUUAGCAGGUCGCGAGGCGAUGUUGGCUCGCUGGGUGAUGGUUGAUCCCCGCAGAACCGGAGCGGUGCGGAUCCGAGCAAUUCCCCGCAGAAAUCCAGACAUCUUGCUGCUCUAAAA